Molecule: ribosomal RNA, 460 nt
Filed under: uncultured bacterium
Lineage: Bacteria
Description: partial 16S ribosomal RNA
Rfam family: Bacterial small subunit ribosomal RNA
Source: RNAcentral
CCUACGGGAGGCUGCAGUGAGGAAUAUUGGUCAAUGGGCGGAAGCCUGAACCAGCCAAGUAGCGUGCAGGAUGACGGCCCUACGGGUUGUAAACUUCUUUUAUACGGGAAUAACGCGCCUUACGUGUAGGGCUUUGCAUGUACCGUAUGAAUAAGGACCGGCUAAUUCCGUGCCAGCAGCCGCGGUAAUACGGAAGGUCCGGGCGUUAUCCGGAUUUAUUGGGUUUAAAGGGAGCGUAGGCCGGGUGUCAAGCGUGCUGUGAAAUGUCCGGGCUCAACCCGGGCCUUGCAGCGCGAACUGGCGUGCUUGAGUCCGCGGAAAGCAGGCGGAAUUCGUGGUGUAGCGGUGAAAUGCUUAGAUAUGACGAAGAACCCCGAUUGCGAAGGCAGCUUGCUGCAGCGGAACUGACGCUGAUGCUCGAAAGCGCGGGGAUCGAACAGGAUUAGAUACCCGUGUAGUC